RNAcentral lists this transfer RNA (104 nucleotides) under Natronolimnobius baerhuensis. It matches the Rfam family "tRNA". Rfam says of the family: Transfer RNA (tRNA) molecules are approximately 80 nucleotides in length. Lineage: Archaea; Methanobacteriati; Methanobacteriota; Halobacteria; Halobacteriales; Natrialbaceae. The record is from Rfam by way of RNAcentral.
GCCGAAGUAGCUCAGAUGGUAGAGCACCUCGCUGUUACGGUGACACAGGUUUCCUGGUCGCCGCAGAUACGAGGUUGUCCCAGGUUCGAGUCCUGGCUUUGGCG